This 625-nucleotide ribosomal RNA is filed under the name anaerobic bacterium Kup2. RNAcentral describes it as "bacterial SSU rRNA". It matches the Rfam family "Bacterial small subunit ribosomal RNA", at positions 15 to 623 of the family's 1533-position model. The record is from RNAcentral. Lineage: Bacteria; Bacillati; Bacillota; Bacilli; Caryophanales.
GAUCCUUGGCUCAGGACGAACGCUGGCGGCGUGCCUAAUACAUGCAAGUCGAGCGAACCAAUAAGAAGCUUGCUUUUUGUUGGUUAGCGGCGGACGGGUGAGUAACACGUGGGUAACCUGCCUGUAAGACCGGGAUAACUCCGGGAAACCGGUGCUAAUACCGGAUAGAUUAUCUUUCCGCCUGGAGAGAUAAGGAAAGAUGGCUAUUGCCAUCACUUACAGAUGGGCCCGCGGCGCAUUAGCUAGUUGGUGAGGUAACGGCUCACCAAGGCGACGAUGCGUAGCCGACCUGAGAGGGUGAUCGGCCACACUGGGACUGAGACACGGCCCAGACUCCUACGGGAGGCAGCAGUAGGGAAUCUUCCGCAAUGGACGAAAGUCUGACGGAGCAACGCCGCGUGAGUGAAGAAGGUCUUCGGAUCGUAAAGCUCUGUUGUUAGGGAAGAACAAGUAUCGGAGGAAAUGCCSGUACCUUGACGGUACCUGACGAGAAAGCCACGGCUAACUACGUGCCAGCAGCCGCGGUAAUACGUAGGUGGGCAAGCGUUKUCCGGAUUUAUUGGGCGUAAAGCGCGCGCAGGCGGUCCUUUAAGYUGAUGUGAAAYUUGCGGUCAACCGGAAGCGG